GGCUAGUCUGAAGGUACUGAGUUAUCUCACUUGAUCCCAGUCAGUUACAGAUUGAACUCCUUUGUUCUACUAUCUUCCCCCUUCUCACUAGUGCAAUUGACUAGUUACAA
RNAcentral lists this Y RNA (110 nucleotides) under Microcebus murinus (gray mouse lemur). RNAcentral describes it as "Y RNA (ENSMICG00000020133.3)". It matches the Rfam family "Y RNA". Rfam says of the family: Y RNAs are components of the Ro ribonucleoprotein particle (Ro RNP), in association with Ro60 and La proteins. The Y RNAs and Ro60 and La proteins are well conserved, but the function of the Ro RNP is not known. In humans the RNA component can be one of four small RNAs -- hY1, hY3, hY4 and hY5. Lineage: Eukaryota; Metazoa; Chordata; Mammalia; Primates; Cheirogaleidae. The record is from RNAcentral.